GUGAACAGCGUGCCAGGCGGCGAGGGAAGCGGGAGGGUGCAAUCGUUGUUCGGAAUUAGUUGGCGUAAAGCGCGGGCAGGUGGUUCUUUAAGUCCUUUGUGAAAUGCCGUGGCUCAAGCCCGGAUGUGCAGAGGAUACUGGAGAACUGGAGACUGGUAGAGGCGAGCGGAAUUCCUGGUGUAGCGGUGGAAUGCGUAGAUAUCAGGAAGAACACCGGUGGCGAAGGCGGCUCGCUGGGCCAGUUCUGACACUCAUCCGCGAAAGCGUGGGGAGCAAACAGGAUUAGAUACCCGUGUAGUC
This 300-nucleotide ribosomal RNA is filed under the name uncultured bacterium. Its description in RNAcentral is "bacterial SSU rRNA". It matches the Rfam family "Bacterial small subunit ribosomal RNA", at positions 496 to 795 of the family's 1533-position model. The record is from RNAcentral.